AACACUGUUAACCUGCGGUACCUGCGGAGGGAUCAUUUGAGAAUCGGUCGGCCGGGCCCAGGCAACCUGUUGCUCUGGCCAGCCACGGACCUACCCUUCAGCCCGUGGAAACGAGCCGUGCUCCGGCGCCCCUCUGUGGCGCCGCCUUUAUGCUGUCUGGCUUGUCUUGUCUGUUAUGAAAAGAGAAAUCAAAACUUUCAGCAAUGGAUCU
This 211-nucleotide unclassified non-coding RNA is filed under the name soil metagenome. RNAcentral describes it as "partial contains 5.8S ribosomal RNA, internal transcribed spacer 2, and large subunit ribosomal RNA". The record is from RNAcentral.